AGGAUGAAUCCAUAGAUGCUGAAAUGCAGCAACGCGAUAGUGAAUACACGGUCGCAACUGUCGCACAGACACAUCCUGUACCUGAUUCCAAGUAAGUGCUAAUUUUUUAGUUUUCCCAUUCCUUGAGGAAGAUGCAAGCACCUUAUGGCUUUGGUGGGUGCUUAUAGUGAUGUGAUGACAAGAAAAGGCAAAGACAUUCACUUUUUUCAGUAAAAAAAAAGGAAAUCGCUAGAAUUGUGUAUUGUUGGAAUCACUUGCUGACGUCAAUGUUUAAACAGGACUCAACAAGUUGAAUUACUAAACAGGUCAGGUGAAUCUAUAGUAUAAUUGAAAAUAUGUUUUAGUAAAAUUUUAUUUACAUAUUCUUCCACCAUUUUGAUGGAUAGCCGCACAUUUGAAAACAUUUUUUAAAACUCUUUAAGAAUUGACGAAAGAUUUUUUUUUUUUUAAUAUUUCUGUUUGUGGAAGUAUACAUAAUAUUUUUAGAAUGCUUGGACACUUGAUUGGAUGAUUAGUUUUGAAGAAAGCUCGGAACGUUCAUAUUGUUCAAGAACUUGACACCUUUUCUAUUUCGACGUUUUUGUAGAUUCGGUGGAUUAAAGAAGACGUACAGUCAUCCACAAAAGUCGAGAUGAAGACUCUAGUGAUGAAGGUCCAACUCCUCGGCCAGGAACCAUUGCUGAGCGAGAACAUAAGAAGUGGGAAAAGGCAGUUCCAUUAGCUAAUAAUCCAUACUCUAAAGAAAAUAUUGACAAAAGACUUAAGAGUAAUUUCAUUCUCAGUAAUCGAGCGAACUGUGAUACACCCCUGGAAUUCAUCUCAGAACAAACCAUUCACGUAGGCAGCAAUUUACCUGACAUGAAAAGAUACAGCAGAGACUUUUACAUUAACACUGACGAAGAUCAAAAUGAGAGAACAUCAAAUCCGGAGUCAAAGAAUCCAAUGCCCGAGAGAAGAAUUUCGCAAGAAACAAAAACUUGUGAAGGCUCACAACAGGUUUCUGUGAGAGUAGAGGUGGAUGUGUGGCCUGCAGAAAAAAUAAUACAACACCAAUCUACGACAUCACCCGAUGAUUCGCCUCAAGUCUCCCCGAUCAUUCAAACGACUGUUAACAUGAACAAGAUGAAUGGAUGCCGGCAAGAGAAAGAGUUUGAGGUAGUUGAAAAACCAGGGGUGCGAAUCAGCUCUUGGGUUGAUAAUGAGAAGAAAACGGAUGAAUUGGACGAGUGCCACUCUCUACCGUCGGUCAAGGAAUUGGCUAAACACUUUUCAACAGGGGAUAAAAAUGAGAAAAACCAUACGAUAGUGAAGGUAAAUAUCUUUGAAUAUCUUCGAGAAAUUUUGAGAAUCAACAGUCCUAGGUACCAAGUGUGCGGCAAUACUAUACUAAUCUUGCUUAUAUGGACGUAUUUAUGCAAAAAGGAGAUAUGUGCAAGUGAAAGGAUGGGGUAUGCUCAUUAG
RNAcentral lists this long non-coding RNA (1461 nucleotides) under Bemisia tabaci. RNAcentral describes it as "lncRNA ENSSSA2NGG011453". The record is from RNAcentral. Lineage: Eukaryota; Metazoa; Arthropoda; Insecta; Hemiptera; Aleyrodidae.